UACGGAGGUUCCAAGCGUUGUUCGGAAUUACUGGGCGUAAAGGGAGCGCAGGCGGUCUGGUCAGUCUAAAGUGGAAGCCCGGGGCUUAACCUCGGAAAGCCUUUGGAUACUGCCAGACUUGAGUACGUGAGAGGAAGGCGGAAUUCAAGGUGUAGCGGUGAAAUGCUUAGAUAUCUUGAGGAACACCAAUGGCGAAAGCAGCCUUCUGGCACGAAACUGACGCUGAGGCGCGAAAGCGUGGGGAGCAAACAGG
RNAcentral lists this ribosomal RNA (253 nucleotides) under uncultured bacterium. RNAcentral describes it as "partial 16S ribosomal RNA". It matches the Rfam family "Bacterial small subunit ribosomal RNA", at positions 524 to 776 of the family's 1533-position model. The record is from RNAcentral.